AACAAACAUUCUGUUCAGAUUCUCUGUCAUAUGCCAGUGAUGCUUUUCAGGAGCUCCAGGUCAGUUUCCCUACCAAGUUUUAUGGUCUGCCGUGUUGUCCAUUCUGCACAGCUAUUUAAAAAAUGUUGAAUAUCAACAAUAGCUUUAACUGGGGCAUUGUCAACUUUUGUAUGUAGCAAUCUUGGCUGAAUGCGAUGGCUCCCAGUGCAGGGAGGGCUCGGCUCGGCGCUGCUGCGGAAUGGAAGACUGCCGCUCGCCUGCCCUUCUGUCUCUCGUCUAGACUCAAAGUGCCAUGGUUUGAGAGUCUUACCUGGCUCUCUUCAGAUAAACAGUCUUCAGGACCCUAAAGGCGCAGAGGGAAGGAUUAAGAAGAACGGCUGUGCAAUGGUGAACAGAUUCAUCCCUGGGCACCCAAUCCAUUAUCCUGUCAACAACAGCAGGUCCCUGCCACAGUUAGCAGCAACACUGGCCGUAAUGAAAUCACCAGUAAUCCCAAAACUCAUCUCAUCAUACCCAAGGUAGAAAAUCUUUUCUCUGAUUAUAUGAUACAAUGACAAAACAGUUAAACAACAGGCUGUGGACAUCAGUGGAAGGCACAGGAUGUAGUCUUCAACAGUGAAUUACCUGUAAAACAUUUGCCUGCAGGAAAUGGAAUCUGACUUAUACCUUUGGUGGUGAAGAAACUCAAAGAAAUGGAUAUGUGGAUUAUCAGUGAGAAAACUGGUUUAAUUUUUACACUGUCUAAUGCUGAAACCAUUUAAUUUCAACUCUAUUUUUCAGUUCUUGUAUUAUAUUUUUAAAAAUCUGUCUCUAACUCGUUGGGAAAUCUCAUGUUUAUAAUUUAAAAUGUGAAAUGCGAAAAGAUUUUUAUUUUUUUUAAUUUUGUUGGACAAACAUUAUAAUUUGAUUGAUUUCGAUGGCGAUCUGAAAAUUAAUUCUUCUAACGCAUUCGAGUAGGCUUUGAGUCCAAUGUAAUUCAAUUGAUAUUAUGUAUAUGUCUUCUGCAAGUGACUGAAUAAAAGAGCUUAAGCGCGGUUUACAAGCUUGCUAAGGAUGGACCGUGUCUUGUAAUAUUUAUAUAUUUAAAACCGGUUUAUCAUUACAUAUUUUAUUAUUUAUAUAGUUUGUUUCGAUUGCAAAAAUUUUGAGAAUUCACUUUUGAUUUUUAUUUGAACGUUUUUUUUCCUUUUAAUAAAUCUGUUAUAAAUACAAAGUUGUAAUUUUACACUGACAAGUUGCUGGUUUAUUUUCCUCAAAAUACCUCAAAUAAUUUAAAAUAAAAAAGUUAGGUGAAAAACAGCGUUGUCCUUUUAAAAUAGCGGUAUCAUAUGCUGCAAGAUAAAAACAGGAUAUAAUUCCAGCAGUUCGCAGUGACAUCUGAAAGAAGGUCAAAAUCAAGCCUCUUCUUUAAUUGACCAGUGAAUAUUAUUUUACCCGUGUCCCAACCAGAGGGGACGCAACCAUUCAGCAAAAUACAAUAGGAAUAACAGACCGUGUUGAAAAUGCAUCUUCAUUUGCAUAUUCGGUUCAAAAAUCAUGCAAAUCCCAAUGAGACGCUCUUUAUUGUGCCUGCAAUUGAAAAAUCAUUCUGUUAUCCAUGGUAACUGUGGCCUUAUUCGAAGCCGUUGAAUUGAAACAAAAAGUUAUUAAGUUCAUACGGUAUGACGUUUAAAUGGACUCCGGAGCCAUGGUUAAUGGUUCGGCGACGUAUGGACUAUUUGAUCUCAAAAAUGGGAGGUGCAAAUUAUUAUUUAUUAUUAUUACUAUUAUUUUAGUUUCGUUUUGGCUAGUGUUUAACGUAUUACUGUGCUGUUCCUAUUUUGCUAGACGUAAUAUGUAGCUAGGCCUUAUUCAAGUUUUUUCCAAAAUGUAGCCGAGGCUAUUCAUUAAUUCACUAAUUAAUAUGACUGUUUUUAUAUAUCCUUCAUAUAAAUUUUAUCUUAUUUUACUUUUUUAAGUAAAGUAGGCUACAAACAGUAAAAGUAUUCCUGUAUAAAUGACAAACAAUGUCUCAUUAGAACUCAAAAUCAUUUAAAAUAUUUAGAGUUUUCCCGCAUAAUUGUGGCUCUUGCUUUUCUCAAAGUGGGUGUGUCGCGUGCAGGAUUAUUGAACAAGCCUAUAGUUUACCAAGUUCACUUAUUUUAACUCUGUAUAGCGCGGACAACACCUGAUUAUACCCUUAUUAAUUUUUUCUGGCACUGUGUGCACUUUGCUAUAAUUUACUUCCACUUUAAUUGUUUAGGUCGAACUAAUUUACAAGUGAAUCCAUGGGCUCAAAAAAAAGGGACUUUAAACGGUGGUAAAGAAUAUUAGCCCUGUGGUGAUCUAUUGUUAGCCUAUUGUCUCUUCAAUAGUUCAUCACGACAUACGUUGUUAAAACAUUCAUCUAAUAAAAAUCUUGCAUACUAAAUUUUACAGCAAAAAUAAAAAAGUGACCUAUAAAUCAGCAAAUAACUGAUUUUAUUAUUAUUUUUUUUCAUGGUAAUUAACAAACAAUGGCCUCCUUAAGGUAUUUAUCUGCUGCACAGUGACAGUUUUAGUUUAUUCGGGUCAUUUGAACAGUCGCUUAUUCCCUAGGCUACUAAUGGACAAUUCACUACUCGGCCAUAUAAGGCUACACGUGAGUGAUUUUCGGAAGCCCUGUGGCUCGGAGCUCAAUGAUGUUGAACACUGCAGGCUUUCCUGGUGGUCCUCGGCCUUAGCUCACGUUAAUUAGGAAAUUUGGAGAACAGAAGCCCUCAUUACCGAGCUCCGGGUUACUGGGAGUUUUCCUUCUCCCGCUGUCUCCUACAUUUCCAUAAGCAGAUUACAAGAGGAUAUGUUCCUGAAACCACUCGGAUAAAUCACCGGUUUCGUGGAAUAAGUCUCUAUUUAGAAUUUUUAUAAUAACGGAUUGGGCACCGCUAUUCAUAGGCAAUGCAAAGUGACUAAUUGAUGUUCCAUAUGACAAUUGUAUUUUUUUCUUUAUUAUUUUUUUUAUAAUGAAAUUCCAUGAUGAAUAAUUUAUGCCGCUUUGCAAUUGGAAACCUUUGGCCUGAAGGACAUCCUCGAGUGACAACACUGGCACUUGUUAAGAGUAGUAGUUUGGAAAUUAUCCUAAAUAGCGGAGGCGUGUUGGUGUCCUAAAUGUCCUAAAAAUCAGUCACACACGGUGAAACUUCUCUAAAUGGCAGAGUCGUUAGUGUGUGGUGUUAAACGUCCAUCGUGAAUAUUCAGUGCUGUAAUCGGUUUUAGUGGCGUUGAAUGUGUUAAAUGACGAUGUUCUCGAUGGACGACGUGCUAAUACUGACCCACUGAAAGGUGUAAGUUCUCCCCAGGAGACAGAAAACUCUCAAAACCGAACACUUCUCGAGUCACGAAUCGCAUAAUAAGACGCGGGAUGAUUGCAAUUGACAGUGAUUGGUGCUGUAAAAAAAUAAUGAAUUAACAUAGGCUAUAGGUUACGCAACAUUGGCGUGGCAUUUGUAAAAAAAAAAUCGUUUUUAGAGGAGUUGUAGUUUUUGUCACCUCAAGAGGUUUUUUUUUUUCAUCAGAAAAAUAUAAAAUUGUUCCACAUGGGGGCGUUACUGUAUUAAUUUUCUAUGCUACACUAAGGAUGUCGUGGACACAACAAAAACUAUUUUUGUUGAAUGUUUUUUUUUUGUUAUACUAUUAAAGUGUAAUAAUAGGUUUUUGAGCUUUCAAAUAAAAUUUAGAAAAUAUUAGGAGACAAAGAAUUUAAGUAAUUCUCUUGAUGUUAAAAUCGUUGGCUAGCCUACUUUUAGGCUAAUUAAAGUUUUAAAAUCUUAUAUUCCCACCGUGUAAUUUUGUAUCAGAUUAUCUUAUUUAAGAAUAAUACUACUAAUAAUUUAAAUAAUAUAUUAAUGGUUAAGUAAGCCAAGGCAAAAAAGUUCAGUUUGAUGUAGCCAACCAAAAGUAAAACCAAGCUUUUGCAUUAGUGGAUACAUGAUGUAGCCUAUUUAAAUAUUAAGUUGUUAUUAAAUAGUAUUGUAUUUCAAUAUAUAUAUUGAACUUUUAAUUAAUUAAUGUAUUAUUUGUUUAAUUAAUGAUCAUGGUUGUGUGCCAUUGCCAGAGGCAAAGUUUAUAGUUGAAAUAUUUAUGUUUGAAUCCAAUAAAUUGGAAUCUAUCCUGAUUCUUGCCUUUAUUUUAGGCAAUAAAUUAAACAUGCUUUUUUCCUUUAGUUAUAUUCCAUUGAGCAGUUUCAGUAUUUUUCGGAGGAACAUUUGAAACCCAUAACUAUUUCAGUAACGCAAGGAUAACAUUCUUAGUGGAUAACGACCGCUUUAAAACAAUAUUUGCAAAGUGAUUACUUCUGUCAAAAGUGCAAAGAUGACCCUGAUGUAUUUUAUCCCACUUAUUAAAGUGCAUCCCGAGACACAGUGCACUGGCAGCGCUCUGCUUGGAUGGCGGACUGUGAGGCGCUCUCUGAUUGGUCGGCGCUGAGCUCAUUGUUAUGCUGUCAAUCCAAAUCACAUGGCCGAGCCUGUAAUAACAGCUGAGUUUAGCGCACAACUUUCCAGAGUUCCGUAGCAGAGCAGAGCAAGACACACGAGACUAGAGUGGAGGUAGUUGAAAGGAUCUGAAGCUUUUCACUUGACCAGAGUUUUGGUUCUCUUGAACUUUUGACUGACUACAUUCUACUUUAUUUUGUGAGGCUAUUUAAACUCCAUCGUUUUCUUUCGAGUGCUUGGC
Long non-coding RNA from Carassius auratus (goldfish), 4692 nucleotides. Lineage: Eukaryota; Metazoa; Chordata; Actinopteri; Cypriniformes; Cyprinidae. The record is from Ensembl.